RNAcentral lists this ribosomal RNA (465 nucleotides) under uncultured bacterium. Its description in RNAcentral is "partial 16S ribosomal RNA". It matches the Rfam family "Bacterial small subunit ribosomal RNA", at positions 28 to 507 of the family's 1533-position model. The record is from RNAcentral.
GACGAACGCUGGCGGCGUGCUUAACACAUGCAAGUCGUACGGUAAGGCCCUUUCGGGGGUACACGAGUGGCGAACGGGUGAGUAACACGUGAGUAACCUGCCCACAUCUUUGGGAUAACGCUCGGAAACUGGUGCUAAUACUGGAUAUAUGCUCCUGCUGCAUGGUGGGGGUUGGAAAGAUCCGGCGGGUGUGGAUGGACUCUCGGCCUAUCAGCUUGUUGGUGGGGUAGUGGCCUACCAAGGCGGCGACGGGUAGCCGGCCCGGGAGGGUGACCGGCCACAUUGGGACUGGGAUACGGCCCAGACUCCUACGGGGGGCAGCAGUGGGGAAUAUUGCACAAUGGGCGCCAGCCUGAUGCAGCCGCGCCGCGGGCGGGAUGACGGCCUUCGGGUUGUAAACCGCUUUCAGCAGGGACGAAGCUUUUUGUGACGGUACCUGCAGAAGAAGCACCGGCUAACUACGUG